Molecule: ribosomal RNA, 478 nt
Filed under: uncultured anaerobic ammonium-oxidizing bacterium
Lineage: Bacteria
Description: bacterial SSU rRNA
Rfam family: Bacterial small subunit ribosomal RNA
Source: RNAcentral
UUUCGCAAUGCCCGAAAGGGUGACGAAGCGACGCCGCGUGGGUGAGGAAGGCCUUCGGGUUGUAAAGCCCUGUCAGGAGUUAAGAAAUGUAGAUUCGCUAAUAUCGUGUCUAUUUGACGAAGGCUCCAAAGGAAGCCACGGCUAACUCUGUGCCAGCAGCCGCGGUAAUACAGAGGUGGCAAGCGUUGUUCGGAAUUAUUGGGCGUAAAGAGCGCGUAGGUGGAUUUGUAAGUCAGAUGUGAAAGCCUUCUGUUCAACGGAAGAAUUGCAUCUGAAACUGCAGACCUUGAGUGUAGGAGGGGAGAAUGGAACUUCUGGUGGAGCGGUGAAAUGCGUAGAUAUCAGAAGGAACGCCGGCGGCGAAAGCGAUUCUCUGGCCUAUUACUGACACUCAGUGCGCGAAAGCUAGGGGAGCAAACGGGAUUAGAUACCCCGGUAGUCCUAGCCGUAAACGAUGGGCACUAAGUAGAGGGGUUUU